CCUCACCAUCUUUCCCCUCUGUCUGAAGGAAAAAGGGUCAGAGUAUUUAGGGGAAACAAGGAGAGAGAAACCUGGAGAGAGAAACUUCUGCAACUCAAGACCAACGAUUGUCCUUUCGAGUUUCGAUGAGGGUGCUUCGAUUUUCCGAUCUCGUCACAUUCAUCAGAUAUUUUAUCUGAGAAGGAGAUGCACUUGACUGGAGUUUAUGAUUUAGUUGCUGUGUUAACUCACAAGGGUAGAAGUGCUUAUUCAGGGCACUAUGUUGGUUGGGUGAAGCAAGAUAAUGGAAAGUGGAUUGAGUAUGAUGACAACAACCCAAUUCCCUAAUGAGAAGAAGACAUUGUGAAACUCUCUGGGGGAGAUUUUGUUGCUUCCAGGAAAGUGCGUUCCUCAAUCCUCCAAUGCCUUCAAUUUUCAGUAUCCUUUCAUUCUUUGGCAGGUAAAUCUGUACCGAGUGCUCCCUGCAUAACCGGAGGAUCUACGGUUGCUUCAUCAAUUCUGUCUGCCUGUAGUGCUCAGUUUAAUUCAGGUGGAUGAGCCAACUCGCUUGACACCAAGGAAGAAAUCAAUUAACCCACCAAGUAUGACAUCAAUAGAUGAACUCCGAACACCUGACUUUGAAGCCUUGUUGAAAUCAUUUUGGGACUUGAGGUUUGGAAAGCAGACAAAAGAUGAUGUGAAACAUAUAUACGGACAAGAGGGUGUUUUAACUAAAGUAAGUCAGUAGUUUAAUUGUAAGAUGCAUCUAUAGUAUUAUGUAGAAACAAUGUACACUUAUACAUUAUAUGUAAUAUGUAUACAAACCAUGUAGCUUCAAUUUCCUUAGAUAAUCAAAGGUCAUUGUACUACUCUCUGCUUAUUGAUGUGUAAGAGUGAUAA
Chenopodium quinoa (quinoa) is the source of this 879-nucleotide long non-coding RNA. RefSeq lists it as uncharacterized. The record is from RefSeq and is a predicted model, not a curated record. The transcript has 6 exons. NCBI's taxonomy places the organism in Eukaryota, Viridiplantae, Streptophyta, Magnoliopsida, Caryophyllales, Amaranthaceae.